GAUGAACGCUAGCGGCAGGCCUAACACAUGCAAGUCGAGGGAGAAGCCCUUUCGGGGGCAGAAACCGGCGCACGGGUGCGUAACGCGUAUGCAACCUACCUUUCACAGGGGGAUAGCCCGAAGAAAUUUGGAUUAAUACCCCAUAAUAUUAUUGGAUGGCAUCAUUUGAUAAUUAAAACUGCGGUGGUGAAAGAUGGGCAUGCGUCCUAUUAGCUAGUUGGAGUGGUAACGGCACCCCAAGGCUACGAUAGGUAGGGGUCCUGAGAGGGAGAUCCCCCACACUGGUACUGAGACAGGGACCAGACUCCUACGGGAGGCAGCAGUGAGGAAUAUUGGUCAAUGGUCGGAAGACUGAACCAGCCAUGCCGCGUGCAGGAAGAAUGCCUUAUGGGUUGUAAACUGCUUUUAUAUGGGAAGAAUAAGGCGUACGUGUACGUUGAUGACG
RNAcentral lists this ribosomal RNA (445 nucleotides) under Capnocytophaga gingivalis. RNAcentral describes it as "bacterial SSU rRNA". It matches the Rfam family "Bacterial small subunit ribosomal RNA", at positions 28 to 474 of the family's 1533-position model. The record is from RNAcentral. Lineage: Bacteria; Pseudomonadati; Bacteroidota; Flavobacteriia; Flavobacteriales; Flavobacteriaceae.